UAAGGAAUAUUGGUCAAUGGACGCAAGUCUGAACCAGCCAUGCCGCGUGAAGGAUGAAGGUCCUAUGGAUUGUAAACUUCUUUUAUUAGGGAAGAAAAAAUGUGAUGCGUCAUAUACUGACGGUACCUAAUGAAUAAGCAUCGGCUAACUUCGUGCCAGCAGCCGCGGUAAUACGGAGGAUGCAAGCGUUGUCCGGAUUCACUGGGUUUAAAGGGUGCGUAGGCGGACAAGUAAGUCAGUGGUGAAAUCCCGCAGCUCAACUCCGGAACUGCCAUUGAAACUAUUUUUCUUGAAUAUAGUGGAGGCAAGACGGAAUAUNUCAUGUAGCGGUGAAAUGCUUAGAUAUGUCAUAGAACACCCAUUGCGAAGGCAGUUUGCUAAACUAUUAUUGACGCUGAGGCACGAAAGCGUGGGGAUCNAACAGGAUUAGAUACCCUGGUAGUCCACGCCCUAAACGAUGAUUACUCGACGUACGCGAUAUCACUUCAGUGUCUAGCGAAAGCAUAA
RNAcentral lists this ribosomal RNA (507 nucleotides) under uncultured bacterium. RNAcentral describes it as "bacterial SSU rRNA". It matches the Rfam family "Bacterial small subunit ribosomal RNA", at positions 355 to 862 of the family's 1533-position model. The record is from RNAcentral.